This is an RNA transcript of Cryptotermes secundus, 1657 nucleotides long. RefSeq lists it as uncharacterized. The record is from RefSeq and is a predicted model, not a curated record. The transcript has 5 exons. NCBI's taxonomy places the organism in Eukaryota, Metazoa, Arthropoda, Insecta, Blattodea, Kalotermitidae.
UCGGCUGUGAACUGCCGUACCUGGCUGUUGUAAUGGGGACAGGAAGCAGUCACAACCAGGUGGUAAUAGAGACAUUGCCCGAUCCUGUCACUGGAGACUUUGAUUCUACUGAUGUGGUCAUCACGAAGGAAGUACGUCGGCCAGUGCGACAAGCAACCAUCGAGAAAAUUGUUACAGAGACGGGAGCUGAAGUGGGGAAGGUGCGUCAAGAUCCCGAUGGUUUGCUUGAUGCCACUAGUCUCCACAACGACGAUGAACUCAAAGAUAUUCAGGACCUUGAACAGACUUUUGAUUCCCUUGGUAUUCCUUUAAGUAAUAAUCGUAACAGUGAUGAAGUUAAUCAUAAAAUUCCCAACGAACAUUUACAUGAACGUGAUAUCGCUCCUCUCAAGACGAAAUGGAGUGAUGUUAAAGCUGGUGUUCCGACUUCCCAAAAUUCGUCUGAAAGAAACAAACAUAGGGGUACUGCAGUCUCGGGUGUGACAGAUGGUGGGGGUGUUAUUACGAGUAGAUCUUCUUCUGGGCCCCAAGCACGUCUCGAUAUUCCAACAACAGCAUUAUUAGAUAAAAAUAACGAUAACAACAACAACACAAAAUCAGCGCCUACGAAGUUCACAUGGAACUUGGCAGAACCCACAAAAUCAUCUGACGAGUGGAUUUACCAGAGGAACACAGUUGAUGGAUUUGAUCCUGAUAAGUUUCGGAAGGCCAAUAAGAAGGAUGCACCGCAUGAGAUCAAAUCGUCUAGCUCCUUGAUGGACGAUAUGGUCAUGCUGCAUCCACAUAGUGUUCCAGAAUAUGAUGUCUCAGAACAACAGAUCUUGGACAGCAUUGAAAAAGAAUUUGUGUCCUGACAGGGAACAUAAAAUUCUACUAGUUCAGACAUCACCAAGAAUAUGGAAUCAGGAAAAGCUGUGUACCUCAUACAUCCCCACUGGGAUCAUCAACAACACCCUGAAACUGAUACUGAACAUGUAAUCCCUGGCUUGGAAAAUGGAAGCAGUCCGAUGGAAGGAAUUUGGCUUUUGCUGGGCGACAUGCAACGAGGACUUCGUUGGGAUCUUUUAUGGGUGCCACUUGUUCCAUUGAUGUUGCCAGUGAAAAUUCCUGCAAUGUAGGUACAAUUCGUAUAACAGUUUCAAUAUGAUGAUUAAACAUCGAUGUAAAAACUGAAUUCAUAAUGGACAGAUGCUAAAUAUUAUAUUACAAAUAUGACUGAAAUAUUAACAUCAAGCAUGUAAAUAUGUAGGCUAAUGAAGAUUAUAUUUAGAUGAGUCUACACCAAUUAAAAAAUUAUUUUUAGUCAUGUUAGUUUUAACAUUUCUCUUUGACAUAAUUAUUGAUGCAUUAGUAAUAAUUUGUGUUCAAACAUACGUGUCGACAAAAAAAAUACAAUAAAUAAGUCACAAGCUGCAAUGGUAAAUACAGAUGUCAGUUUUAAUAUAAAGAACAAAACAGAGUGCUUGUAUGUAUGGUAUAUUUUAUUAUGUUUUCUCACUGAAACUGUAUCUCCACAAAUUAACUCUAAGCACAGCUGCCAAUUGAUAUAUACUCAAUAUGGGUUUAUGUCAUCUGUGCAAGAUACUAAAAUGUUUCUGUUUUUUCUGUUACAGUAUAUGAGUAAGUAAAUAAAUAUAUUACUUUGUUUCCUAUUUAA